This is a long non-coding RNA of Dromaius novaehollandiae (emu), 714 nucleotides long. RefSeq lists it as uncharacterized. Lineage: Eukaryota; Metazoa; Chordata; Aves; Casuariiformes; Dromaiidae. The record is from RefSeq and is a predicted model, not a curated record. The transcript has 6 exons.
UGCUGCCACUCCAGUGACUCAUUUUGCUGACAUGUAAGUUAAUGGGGGCAAAGAUGUGGAACUGUUCCCUCAAAGAGAAAAAAGAUUUGGGAGAGAGAAGCCCAUAUGACCCGUACUUCAUUUCUACAAACCCUGACUCCCACUUGCAAUGCUCACUCUACUGCUGAGAAAUAUGAAACUGCCUCUGGACUCUCUGAUGACAUAUAUGUAUUACACAGCCUCCCCAAGACCCCCAGUUCACAGGAAGGGUGGAAAAGAAGAAGCCUGAGGCUGAUAAAGCACGCACUGAAAGCUACUGAGAAAAUCCUUGCAUCAAGCUUUGCUUCUGGGACUUUGUAACUUCUCUCCACCAAGAAGCUGGAAAACUACUCCUCAGAAGAAAAUAGACUGCAUAAAACCAGAAGUGGCUUUAGUAUUUCCAGUUAGAACAGACUGAAUGAAUUGACUCGAAACACCACUGAGGCAGUGAACGAACAGAGGACCUGAGAAAAAAUAUGCAUCUCCCUGUCUUUAAGUUAAGGCUUUAGCUAGCCUAUUACAGCUGCUCUCCAGUGAUUUUCUAGUGCCACAGGCACUGGUCUGAUCUGAAACCAUCAAACAUCCAUCUGAUGUGAAGAAAAAGAGGAACAAAGAAAGUUCAGGUGAAUUCACAGCCAGCAGAAUGGAUCUACACCUGUUGUCAAAACAGAAACAUGAGCUUGUAAAGAUGUAAUU